This 473-nucleotide ribosomal RNA is filed under the name uncultured bacterium. RNAcentral describes it as "SSU rRNA". It matches the Rfam family "Bacterial small subunit ribosomal RNA", at positions 26 to 518 of the family's 1533-position model. The record is from RNAcentral.
AGGACGAACGCUGGCGGCGUGCUUAACACAUGCAAGUCGAGCGGAAAGGCCCUUCGGGGUACUCGAGCGGCGAACGGGUGAGUAACACGUGAGCAACCUGCCCUUAGCUCCGGGAUAGCUCCGGGAAACCGGAAUUAAUACCGGAUAUGACCUAGGCCGACAUCGGCUGUGGUGGAAAGUUUUUCGGCUGGGGAUGGACUCGCGGCCUAUCAGCUUGUUGGUGGGGUAAUGGCCUACCAAGGCGACGACGGGUAGCCGGCCUGAGAGGGCGACCGGCCACACUGGGACUGAGACACGGCCCAGACUCCUACGGGAGGCAGCAGUGGGGAAUCUUGCGCAAUGGGCGAAAGCCUGACGCAGCGACGCCGCGUGGGGGAUGAAGGCCUUCGGGUUGUAAACCCCUUUCAGCAGGGACGAAGCGAAAGUGACGGUACCUGCAGAGAAGCGCCGGCUAACUACGUGCCAGCAGCCGC